Molecule: long non-coding RNA, 498 nt
Filed under: Capra hircus (goat)
Lineage: Eukaryota; Metazoa; Chordata; Mammalia; Artiodactyla; Bovidae
Description: lncRNA (ENSCHIG00000001873.1)
Source: RNAcentral
GGGAGAAACCCCAGUGAGGAAGCGCCAAGUUUAUAAGUAGCUGGAGGGUCACUCGGCAUUGCUCAUUGACUGGGACAGACUCCUCUUUUAUCAGCAAAGCCAUCCAUGAGGUGAGGUUUGGCCAUCUGGACCUCUACUCUGGCCCUUUGGGCAUCUAACAACAGGUCUGAAAGGAGGUCAUUCAAUACCAGGUCGUCAUGGAAACUCUACCCUGCCCCCACUCCCCUGCCCCUGGAACAGAAUGGACCAGGAAGGGAAAGAGGAGCAUUUGUAAAGCGCCUGCUAUGAGCCAAGCACAACGAAUAGGAAAAAAUUCAUCUGAGCCUUCUUUUAAAAAUCACCAAAAGAAAAAGACACUGUGUUGUUGGUUCAAAAUAUCCUCCAUGGCAUAGUUUUGAACACCACCACUUCUUUCAAGAUUUCUGGAAGUGUUGCUGGCUUCUGUCACCAUUUCUGUGGAUUCCAGGAAGACUUCGCUGAAUAGCAGUAUACUUUUUA